This 253-nucleotide ribosomal RNA is filed under the name uncultured bacterium. Its description in RNAcentral is "partial 16S ribosomal RNA". It matches the Rfam family "Bacterial small subunit ribosomal RNA", at positions 524 to 776 of the family's 1533-position model. The record is from RNAcentral.
UACGGAGGGGGUUAGCGUUGUUCGGAAUUACUGGGCGUAAAGCGCGCGUAGGCGGAUAUUUAAGUCGGGGGUGAAAUCCCGGGGCUCAACCCUGGAACUGCCUUCGAUACUGGGUAUCUUGAGGUCGAGAGAGGUGAGUGGAAUUCCGAGUGUAGAGGUGAAAUUCGUAGAUAUUCGGAGGAACACCAGUGGCGAAGGCGGCUCACUGGCUCGAUACUGACGCUGAGGUGCGAAAGUGUGGGGAGCAAACAGG